GAUGCCCUGGCAGUCAGAGGCGAUGAAGGACGUGCUAAUCUGCGAUAAGCGUCGGUAAGGUGAUAUGAACCGUUAUAACCGGCGAUUUCCGAAUGGGGAAACCCAGUGUGUUUCGACACACUAUCAUUAACUGAAUCCAUAGGUUAAUGAGGCGAACCGGGGGAACUGAAACAUCUAAGUACCCCGAGGAAAAGAAAUCAACCGAGAUUCCCCCAGUAGCGGCGAGCGAACGGGGAGCAGCCCAGAGCCUGAAUCAGUGUGUGUGUUAGUGGAAGCGUCUGGAAAGGCGUGCGAUACAGGGUGACAGCCCCGUACACAAAAAUGCACAUGCUGUGAGCUCGAUGAGUAGGGCGGGACACGUGGUAUCCUGUCUGAAUAUGGGGGGACCAUCCUCCAAGGCUAAAUACUCCUGACUGACCGAUAGUGAACCAGUACCGUGAGGGAAAGGCGAAAAGAACCCCGGCGAGGGGAGUGAAAAAGAACCUGAAACCGUGUACGUACAAGCAGUGGGAGCACGCUUAGGCGUGUGACUGCGUACCUUUUGUAUAAUGGGUCAGCGACUUAUAUUCUGUAGCAAGGUUAACCGAAUAGGGGAGCCGAAGGGAAACCGAGUCUUAACUGGGCGUUAAGUUGCAGGGUAUAGACCCGAAACCCGGUGAUCUAGCCAUGGGCAGGUUGAAGGUUGGGUAACACUAACUGGAGGACCGAACCGACUAAUGUUGAAAAAUUAGCGGAUGACUUGUGGCUGGGGGUGAAAGGCCAAUCAAACCGGGAGAUAGCUGGUUCUCCCCGAAAGCUAUUUAGGUAGCGCCUCGUGAAUUCAUCUCCGGGGGUAGAGCACUGUUUCGGCAAGGGGGUCAUCCCGACUUACCAACCCGAUGCAAACUGCGAAUACCGGAGAAUGUUAUCACGGGAGACACACGGCGGGUGCUAACGUCCGUCGUGAAGAGGGAAACAACCCAGACCGCCAGCUAAGGUCCCAAAGUCAUGGUUAAGUGGGAAACGAUGUGGGAAGGCCCAGACAGCCAGGAUGUUGGCUUAGAAGCAGCCAUCAUUUAAAGAAAGCGUAAUAGCUCACUGGUCGAGUCGGCCUGCGCGGAAGAUGUAACGGGGCUAAACCAUGCACCGAAGCUGCGGCAGCGACGCUGAUGCGUUGUUGGGUAGGGGAGCGUUCUGUAAGCCUGCGAAGGUGUGCUGUGAGGCAUGCUGGAGGUAUCAGAAGUGCGAAUGCUGACAUAAGUAACGAUAAAGCGGGUGAAAAGCCCGCUCGCCGGAAGACCAAGGGUUCCUGUCCAACGUUAAUCGGGGCAGGGUGAGUCGACCCCUAAGGCGAGGCCGAAAGGCGUAGUCGAUGGGAAACAGGUUAAUAUUCCUGUGCUUGGUGUUACUGCGAAGGGGGGACGGAGAAGGCUAUGUUGGCCGGGCGACGGUUGUCCCGGUUUAAGCGUGUAGGCUGGUUUUCCAGGCAAAUCCGGAAAAUCAAGGCUGAGGCGUGAUGACGAGGCACUACGGUGCUGAAGCAACAAAUGCCCUGCUUCCAGGAAAAGCCUCUAAGCAUCAGGUAACAUCAAAUCGUACCCCAAACCGACACAGGUGGUCAGGUAGAGAAUACCAAGGCGCUUGAGAGAACUCGGGUGAAGGAACUAGGCAAAAUGGUGCCGUAACUUCGGGAGAAGGCACGCUGAUAUGUAGGUGAAGUCCCUCGCGGAUGGAGCUGAAAUCAGUCGAAGAUACCAGCUGGCUGCAACUGUUUAUUAAAAACACAGCACUGUGCAAACACGAAAGUGGACGUAUACGGUGUGACGCCUGCCCGGUGCCGGAAGGUUAAUUGAUGGGGUCAGCGCAAGCGAAGCUCUUGAUCGAAGCCCCGGUAAACGGCGGCCGUAACUAUAACGGUCCUAAGGUAGCGAAAUUCCUUGUCGGGUAAGUUCCGACCUGCACGAAUGGCGUAAUGAUGGCCAGGCUGUCUCCACCCGAGACUCAGUGAAAUUGAACUCGCUGUGAAGAUGCAGUGUACCCGCGGCAAGACGGAAAGACCCCGUGAACCUUUACUAUAGCUUGACACUGAACAUUGAGCCUU
Molecule: ribosomal RNA, 2080 nt
Filed under: Escherichia coli
Lineage: Bacteria; Pseudomonadati; Pseudomonadota; Gammaproteobacteria; Enterobacterales; Enterobacteriaceae
Description: bacterial LSU rRNA
Rfam family: Bacterial large subunit ribosomal RNA
Source: RNAcentral